Molecule: long non-coding RNA, 349 nt
Organism: Leptidea sinapis
Lineage: Eukaryota; Metazoa; Arthropoda; Insecta; Lepidoptera; Pieridae
Exons: 2
Source: RefSeq, a predicted model, not a curated record
GAGUGUUUGUGUUGAGUUUGGAUCAGAAUUUGUAAAGCACACAUUCGACAUGCCACAGUUAAUAAGUGCUGUCUUAUUUUUUUUGGUGUUUCUACCAUUUGUAACAAAUGCUGAAAAAGGUGUAGAACUUGAGCGAAGGAAAGUUAAUGGGAUGGUAUUAAAUACUUUGCGUAAUAAAGCCUUUGCUGAUUUUGAUGCUAAAAUGAAAAGAAUGGCGAUAAAGAAGAUUAAGGAAUCCCCUGAUUUCAACAAAUUGAUAAAUAAUUUAAUGAAAGCAAAGAGUGAUAGAGUGCAGAAGAUUAUAGACUUGAUAUCAGAAGUAAUGAUAUUAUAUAUGUUUUAAUAAUUA